GAUGAACGCUGGCGGCGUGCCUAAUACAUGCAAGUCGAGCGAACAGACGAGGAGCUUGCUCCUCUGACGUUAGCGGCGGACGGGUGAGUAACACGUGGAUAACCUACCUAUAAGACUGGGAUAACUUCGGGAAACCGGAGCUAAUACCGGAUAAUAUAUUGAACCGCAUGGUUCAAUAGUAAAAGACGGUUUUGCUGUCACUUAUAGAUGGUUCCUCGCCGCAUUAGCUAGUUGGUAAGGUAACGGCUUACCAAGGCAACGAUGCGUAGCCGACCUGAGAGGGUGAUCGGCCACACUGGAACUGAGACACGGUCCAGACUCCUACGGGAGGCAGCAGUAGGGAAUCUUCCGCAAUGGGCGAAAGCCUGACGGAGCAACGCCGCGUGAGUGAGGAAGGUCUUCGGAUCGUAAAACUCUGUUAUUAGGGAAGAACAAAUGUGUAAGUAACUAUGCACGUCUUGACGGUACCUAAUCAGAAAGCCACGGCUAACUACGUG
RNAcentral lists this ribosomal RNA (497 nucleotides) under uncultured bacterium. RNAcentral's name for it is "partial 16S ribosomal RNA". It matches the Rfam family "Bacterial small subunit ribosomal RNA", at positions 28 to 507 of the family's 1533-position model. The record is from RNAcentral.